GAUAUAACUCCAACGGAUCACCAGCACUUGCUUUAUCAUCAAAUUGAGCUCCCCAGCCCAGGUUUUCGGGAGCCUUUGUUGCAGCUACUGGAGUCAAAGCUUUAGCAUCAUCAAAUUCACUUUCAGAAGAACUAUCAGAGUCAGAGUCUGAAAUGUACGAAUAGAAAAAGGGAAAAGGUUACCAGUUCUGUAAAAGAAUCUAAUGAGUUCAAUUCCAAUUUACACAAAGAUUUUCUUUGGAAGUUAGAAACUUGCCAUAAGAUCAUAGCAUGUGGGAGCCGAUACAUGUCACAAUGAACUAUAUUGGCUUGGAUUCCAGAAAAGCAAGCAAGAAAAAACUUGUCAAUCCAACUCUUGAAGGAUUUGAUAUUCUUGUACCAUUUCUUCUAAAAAAAUAUGAAAUAAUUUAUAUAUAUUAUCCUAAUUUUGUCAGAGGGCAGGAAACUUAUCCUCAAAGCCUUUUCAUUUUUUGUUCAAUAGAUGAAAGAAAUUAGUAACCUUUUGAUAGAUACUAUCUACCAGAAACAGGGACAGAGGGAGGUUAGGGUCUUCCCCACGAAACUUAUCCUCAAAGCAUUUUCAUUUUUUUGUUCAAUUGAUGAAAGAAAUUAGUAACUUUUUGAUAGAUACUAUCUACCAGAAACAGGGACAGAGGGAGGUUAGGGUCUUCCCCACGAAACUUAUCCUCAAAGCAUUUUCAUUUUUUUGUUCAAUUGAUGAAAGAAAUUAGUAACU
This 735-nucleotide unclassified non-coding RNA is filed under the name Hevea brasiliensis (rubber tree). Lineage: Eukaryota; Viridiplantae; Streptophyta; Magnoliopsida; Malpighiales; Euphorbiaceae. The record is from RNAcentral.